CAAAUCUUGACAUCCUUUGACAACUCUAGAGAUAGAGUCUUCCCCUUCGGGGGACAAAGUGACAGGUGAUGCAUGGUUGUCGUCAGCUCGUGUCGUGAGAUGUUGGGUUAAGUCCCGCAACGAGCGCAACCCUUAAGCUUAGUUGCCAGCAUUAAGUUGGGCACUCUAAGUUGACUGCCGGUGACAAACCGGAGGAAGGUGGGGAUGACGUCAAAUCAUCAUGCCCCUUAUGAUUUGGGCUACACACGUGCUACAAUGGACAAUACAAAGGGCAGCUAAACCGCGAGGUCAUGCAAAUCCCAUAAAGUUGUUCUCAGUUCGGAUUGUAGUCUGCAACUCGACUACAUGAAGCUGGAAUCGCUAGUAAUCGUAGAUCAGCAUGCUACGGUGAAUACGUUCCCGGGUCUUGUACACACCGCCCGUCACACCACGAGAGUCUGUAACACCCGAAGCCGGUGGAGUAACCAUUUAUGGAGCUAGCCGUCGAAGGUGGGACAAAUGAUUGGGGUGAAGUCGUAACAAGGUAGCCGUAUCGGAAG
This 539-nucleotide ribosomal RNA is filed under the name uncultured bacterium. RNAcentral's name for it is "bacterial SSU rRNA". It matches the Rfam family "Bacterial small subunit ribosomal RNA", at positions 975 to 1511 of the family's 1533-position model. The record is from RNAcentral.